AAUAGCCACGAAGCUGAAGAAUUACCGUCACCUGUCCGCUCUAGUCUCUCAUUUUUCACCGGCAAAACCAUCUUCAAUUUACAUAACCUCGACUAUAAAAUCUGAUCUCUAAACCUCUUAACCAUCUUAUCAUAUCCUUUGAAAACUUCUCUCGUUGCCAAAAUUCUCUCAUGUUAAAAUCGUAUUAUUCCGGUGAAGAUUCGUUGUUUUUCCGACAAACCAAAAACAAACCCAAAACACCAAACAAGUAAAUCAUGUUACCUAUCCUCACCUUUUGAUCACGUCUUUACGUUCGGAAACCUCUCGUGACACCCAACACAGUUUUCCGGCCAACCUACUCGUUCUCCGGCAACCUCUGUAGCAUCGACCAAGCUCUAUUCUACUCCAGAAAGAUCGUUACGAACACUCGUGAACAAAUCAACGUCAAUUUGAAAGGUUUAAGGUUAGCAGGGAUGGCGGGAAAGUGUGAAGAGAGCUAAAAUAAAAAGUUGGAAACUUAGUGGGGUAGUUUUAAUAAUGUAUGAAAUAAAUUAUCAGGAAUAAAUCUUUUGUAAACUCGUUUGGAUAUUAAUAAAAU
This is a long non-coding RNA of Helianthus annuus (common sunflower), 577 nucleotides long. RefSeq lists it as uncharacterized. Lineage: Eukaryota; Viridiplantae; Streptophyta; Magnoliopsida; Asterales; Asteraceae. The record is from RefSeq and is a predicted model, not a curated record. The transcript has 3 exons.